CCUACGGGAGGCAGCAGUGAGGAAUAUUGGUCAAUGGACGAGAGUCUGAACCAGCCAAGUAGCGUGAAGGAUGACUGCCCUAUGGGUUGUAAACUUCUUUUAUAUGGGAAUAAAACGUUCCACGUGUGGGAUUUUGUAUGUACCAUAUGAAUAAGGAUCGGCUAACUCCGUGCCAGCAGCCGCGGUAAUACGGAGGAUCCGAGCGUUAUCCGGAUUUAUUGGGUUUAAAGGGAGCGUAGGUGGAUUGUUAAGUCAGUUGUGAAAGUUUGCGGCUCAACCGUAAAAUUGCAGUUGAAACUGGCAGUCUUGAGUACAGUAGAGGUGGGCGGAAUUCGUGGUGUAGCGGUGAAAUGCUUAGAUAUCACGAGGAACUCCGAUUGCGAAGGCAGUUCACUGGACUGCAACUGACACUGAGGCUCGAAAGUGUGGGUAUCAAACAGGAUUAGAUACCCGAGUAGUC
Molecule: ribosomal RNA, 460 nt
Filed under: uncultured bacterium
Lineage: Bacteria
Description: partial 16S ribosomal RNA
Rfam family: Bacterial small subunit ribosomal RNA
Source: RNAcentral